This is a long non-coding RNA of Poecilia reticulata (guppy), 1905 nucleotides long. RefSeq lists it as uncharacterized. NCBI's taxonomy places the organism in Eukaryota, Metazoa, Chordata, Actinopteri, Cyprinodontiformes, Poeciliidae. The record is from RefSeq and is a predicted model, not a curated record.
UUAUACUAGUGAAUUUAAAUUCUAUAUAAUUCCAGCAAAUCUAAGAAGCAACAAUAAAUCAAUAAAUGGACAGAGAACAGAGGAUAAGCGUUCAGAUAAAGUUAGUCUAAGUGACUGCAGAGUAGGUUAUGCUGUGUUUGGUCACUGAUGCAGCCUUCAGGACUCUGUUUGUAUUCCGCAAAGUAGCAGAGGCUGAAUCAGACUGGCAGCCUGUUUCUUAGUGAGAGCCAAGGGAGGAAGUCAGCUUCCUCACCCCUAUAGCUGCCUCAUUGGGCUGAGGUCACUUCCUUUUGCCCCCCCAGCCCUUCUCCAGGCCUGCCCAAUCAGCAAGGCCCUGUGUGGGACCCCACCCCUCUUAGAGCACCAUGCAGACUCUGGAUAUAGUUACAAGGCCACGGGGGACUGUCAGUUCUCUCUCCCUUUCUUUCUCUAUCCUCCUCUCUCCCUCCUCCCAUUCUGUUUUUCCGAGUCUCCCGGGUGUUCUUCGCUGCCACCACCCUGUCCCCCUGCACUCCUAAGAAAAUCCUUUAGAUGAGAACUGCUCCUGCGUCUGCUCCCUCUAAGCAUCCCUGACACCAGCAAACCUGAUGUUGGAGUUAUGUGUUAAUAAACCAACAAGAACUGCUGUUCAGCAGACUCACUGCUGUACACACAAGCCACUGCAGGAUGCUGGAUGGCAGCAGAAGAGAAAGCUUCGGGCCUGUAAACAGUAGAAAUUGAGACAUCGUUCAACUUGGCAUGCUGAGAUCGAUUUCCAGGUCACAUGCAGGAGGACAGAGGGAAGAGAAGACGGUCGGGCGCAAAAAAAAAAAAAAAAAAAACACAGCUGAGAAGAGAAUUGUGAGUCACUUCCUAUUUGGUGUCAGAAAGAAAAUGUUUUGCAAGCUUCUCUGCAGACACAGAGCUCCAACAGUGGUUUAGAUUCUCGCAACAAAGUAGAGAGCGAAGAGAUGUGAAUCAGGACAGACAGCCCCUGACUGCCAUACCACAGCGCCUGGUGUCAAACAGAUGUGCAACUUGGCAGCUAUGCUCCCCAGAAAACAGAGAACCCAUGGAUUUCAGGGUGGUUUUUAGUCGUGCUGCCCUCCCCAUCUUUCAGCACUCCUCCUGUCCCCCCAAACAGUCUGAACUCCCCCACACUGUGCCCCUGCAGUCACCCUCCCUCAUCACCUCCACACAGGGGUCCCCUGACAGGUAAUCUUGUCCCUCGAAUGUGAAAUCUCCGACAGCGAUGCCCCGCGCUUUUACCCCCUGCCUCCUCGGCUGAUGGGUAAAUUGGAAUGGCGCACCCUGCUGGCGCGGAGAGCUCUGAACAGACAGCAGUACACACACGCUGGGGCACCCCCCUCAUGCGCUUCUGUCUAAUAUAGUGGACAUGCACACUCGUUUUCGAGCUGCGAUAUCUAUGCACAGACACAUGUCCAUGCACGUAUGUGCGCCGGGGAACACAAAAAGCCAAACGCUCCAAAGCUUUAUGUAAACCACAUACGCAGCCUUAUAAACACAAAUACGUACAGACGCUCUGUGGGUUCAGUCUCAUCUGCAUACAGAUUGGAUACAAAAUAAAAAAAAGACAGAGAUACUGAGCUGAGUCAAUAUAUGUUGAAAUUUAAAUAAGCAUCAUCUGAAAUGGCUCAGCUUGUGUCCUUUUUCCAGAAACUGCACCUGAUUUGUGUUGCCAUGGUUUCUAUUAUGUGUACACCGUUGGGGAGAAGAGACAAAAUAGAUGAAAARGUAGAAACUAGAGAAUACAUGUGCAUGUUUUUUGGYGCCCCAUGCGUGGAUAUGGUAAGCACUACUAACUCUGACGUUUACAAUAAGGACACUGUGGCAUCAAUUUAUUACCAGAAGAGGUUUGUUUUUUCUUUUAAUCAGCCAUGGUUUCUAAGAGGCUUGGCAUGGCUG